This is a long non-coding RNA of Chenopodium quinoa (quinoa), 614 nucleotides long. RefSeq lists it as uncharacterized. Lineage: Eukaryota; Viridiplantae; Streptophyta; Magnoliopsida; Caryophyllales; Amaranthaceae. The record is from RefSeq and is a predicted model, not a curated record. The transcript has 3 exons.
UCUAUUUUUUUCACCAAAUAUUUUGAACAACACGUGUAAGAAUUUGCUUCCCUCUAUUCUCAAUUCUCACGUACAGAAGUACAUACAGUAGCUUUCAAUACCCCCUUUACUCCAUUUUCCCCAUUGUCAAUUUCUCACCAUUUUCCCCAUCUUCUCAGAUCUCAUAACUUCAAUUCUCCAAAAAUACUUCAAAUUUUGAGACGAAAAUCACAAAAAAAAAUACUCCAAAAUUGUAAGAGGAAAAUAAGCAAAGAAAUCACGAAGGCGGCACUCCGGCGGUGGUGGCUGAAGGCGGCACAAGCGGUCUCAAUUUCAUUUUGCAUGUCCCUUCCUUGAGCUGAUUGCUCGAAAUUCUCUUCAAGGAUGCAUCUAGUGCGCCACAUCUUCUUGUUGACCAAAAUGGGCAAUCUUCUAAAUCUGGUGCCACAAUUAAUCAGGUGAAUGGGGAGUCAAAUGGAGCGGAAGUAUAGUGACUAGCCAUCUAACAAAUGGUGCAUAUAUGUUGGCGAUUCUUAUUCAAAUUCCGGCUUUGUGAAGAUUUGGAUAUUUCGGCUUAUAUAUAUGUUGACAAUUUGUAUUUUGGACGAUCAAAUUAAUUAUCUAACUUUUAUUUA